GAUGAACGCUGGCGGCGUGCCUAAUACAUGCAAGUCGAGCGAACAGACGAGGAGCUUGCUCCUCUGACGUUAGCGGCGGACGGGUGAGUAACACGUGGAUAACCUACCUUUAAGACUGGGAUAACUUCGGGAAACCGGAGCUAAUACCGGAUAAUAUAUUGCACCGCAUGGUUCAAUAGUGAAAGACGGUUUUGCUGUCACUUAUAGAUGGCUCCCCGCCGGAUUGGCUAGUUGGUAAGGUAAUGGCUUACCAAGGCAACGAUGCGUAGCCGACCGCAGAGGCGGAUCGCCCACACUGGAACGGGACCACGGUCCAUGCGACUACGGGACGCAGCAGUAGGGAAUCUGACGCAAUGGGCGAAAGCCUGACGGAGCAAGGCCGCGUGAGUUAUAGAGAUCUUCCGAGCGUAAUACUCGGCUAUUAGGUAAGAACAAAUGUGUAAGUAACUAUGCACGUCGUGACGGUACCUAAUCAGAAAGCCACGGCUAACUACGUG
RNAcentral lists this ribosomal RNA (497 nucleotides) under uncultured bacterium. RNAcentral describes it as "partial 16S ribosomal RNA". It matches the Rfam family "Bacterial small subunit ribosomal RNA", at positions 28 to 507 of the family's 1533-position model. The record is from RNAcentral.